GAGGAAUAUUGGGCAAUGCCCGCAAGGGUGACCCAGCAACGCCGCGUGGAGGAUGAAAGCCGUAAGGUUGUAAACUCCUGUGAGAGGGGACGAAUGAUUACGUUUCGUAAGGAACGUGAAGUGACUGUACCCUCAGAGGAAGCCCCGGCUAACUACGUGCCAGCAGCCGCGGUAAUACGUAGGGGGCAAGCGUUGUCCGGAUUUACUGGGUGUAAAGGGCGCGUAGGCGGGUUGAUAAGUUAGAGGUGAAGUCCUGCGGCUUAACCGCAGAACUGCCCCUAAUACUGUCAAUCUUGAGUUCAGAAGAGAGAAGCGGAAUUCCAGGUGUAGUGGUGAAAUACGUAGAUAUCUGGAAGAACACCAGUUGCGAAGGCGGCUUCUUGGUCUGACACUGACGCUGAGGCGCGUAAGCGUGGGGAGCAAACAG
Molecule: ribosomal RNA, 427 nt
Filed under: uncultured bacterium
Lineage: Bacteria
Description: bacterial SSU rRNA
Rfam family: Bacterial small subunit ribosomal RNA
Source: RNAcentral